AACCGAAAAGUUAUCGCUGUUUGAAAAUGAGCUAUUUUUGCUAUUAUCGAUAAUUAGUAAAAAUAGCUCACUUUCAAAUCGCGAUAACUCUUCGGUUUU
Paramuricea clavata is the source of this 99-nucleotide non-coding RNA. The record is from the annotation of a GenBank genome assembly. Lineage: Eukaryota; Metazoa; Cnidaria; Anthozoa; Malacalcyonacea; Plexauridae.